This is a long non-coding RNA of Lolium rigidum, 467 nucleotides long. RefSeq lists it as uncharacterized. The transcript has 3 exons. The record is from RefSeq and is a predicted model, not a curated record. Lineage: Eukaryota; Viridiplantae; Streptophyta; Magnoliopsida; Poales; Poaceae.
UGUGUUCAUCGACCUACAAUUUUGUCAAUGCAAAAUAUUUGUAUUCUUUGAGGGACAGCGACAUUGAGGAAGUUGGAACACUUGACUUUGCAACUCUGUGCCUAAACAACCUGUGGAGUGAGUUGGAUGCAUGGAAAGACAAGGUGUAGAGAAUACUGGGUUAUGAACAUUUCUCCUUCCUUUGUAUUCGCAAUUCCGUAGAAAUUGGAAACUAAAGAUUGGAGUACAUGGUCUGGUUAUGUUUGGUGUCCUGCCAUGUAUACUUUUUUGUGCUUAAAAGCAUGGCUUAUAUAUGUUUUCCCAGAUUCUUUUUGGCCUGAAAUCCUAUCUGUUUUACCAUGUACAUAAGUCGUGAAGAAAUUCAAUAGCCACGAGUUCAGGCCAAGGCAAAUUCGGUAUUUGGGUAUUAUAUCACGUGACAGUAGUACAAAUAUUGCCUGGAUGUGAAUCGAACCAAACUCGCGUCA